AACAACACCGCUGCUCUUCCAUCCGCUAUUUAAAAUAGAUAAGAACGCCCCUCCAUUUUGUUGCUAUGAUUCCGGCGUAAGGAUUCCAACAACUAACAUCUUAUUCAUUUUGGAGAGGUUUAUUGGCCGAGAAGAAUCAAAACUCAGUCCAGAGAAAACAGGUGAGACUCGGGAAGCCGUGAGAUUUUGUUCCUCGAAUCGAUUCUUGGUAAUUUCACUUCCUAAACCGUAGUCAUUUGCAUGCUCGACAGCCGAUUCGAAGACUUGCAGACCUAGUUUUACAAGCAGAGAAUCAAAGAAAGCGGAACAAGUUAGUCGUCGGAGUUCCUUGUCAAUUUUGUACCAUGAUUUUUUUGCUUUCCGAUUUAGGAUUCUAAACCUUACCCGAUUAAAUUCUCGGCAGCGGAAUCAGAGACUUGAAGACUUGGAUUUACUUGCCGAGCAUCCGAGUAAAAGGGAAAGGUUAGUCGUCGGAGAUUGUUCUCUGUUUUUCAUCUUUUUGGGUAAAGCUUCUGUUUGAAUCUUGUUCCUGAUCCGUAGUAGCCGUUGAAAAUGCCGCCCAAACCUUCCCCAAUUCCGCGAAUGACUUGGAGUUGAACCGCAAAACAACAACCUCCGGCGAGGAUAUCGGAGGAUGAGACCCCUCCUCGCCGCAAUCUCGUUCCCAAAAGGAUUCGAGAGCCCGAUUAGUCGUCCAUCUUUUAAGUUGUCGAGAAAGGGAUGAAUGUGAUUUUCUUCUCAAAAUUUCGAUUACUCGCCAUCGAUGGAACAUGCACAUUGUUCCUGUUUUGGAUAAUUUGUGCUAAUAUGAUUUUGUCCCGAAUUGGUAACAAAUGAUUUGAUUUGUAAUUUUUUGUUCCGCUUUUGUGCAUUUGGACACUUUGGUACUAAAAUUGCUAACCAAGUCGAUAUAAUAUAUAACCAGGUGUUGUUGAUUAUCAAAAUUCCUUUUAUGUCUUUUUAUAUGAUUCAACGCUAACACACACUAGGGACGUACUUGCCUUGGGGAUACUUGGGCCACGCGACCUCCUCGGGCGACGGAGAACUGUUGAUGUUUUCGGGCGUUUUGGAUGACGUGCUGCGUGCGUGGAAGCAACAAGGUUCGAGAUUUGUGUUAGCGGAUGAUCUGGUUGGAGAUACGGCAGCGUUUAUAGGAUACCAGAGUUCGACUACAUUGGUAGGACGAGGUUUCAAAGGCGUCGAGACAGAUUGCGUGUAUUAUUAUCGCCACGGUUCCUACGAUGUCCGGAAGUUCCAUCUCAAAGAUGGAAGAUUUGAUCAUCAAUACUUAGCAGAUGGUUGUAAAGGCGGUUCAUUCCCAGUUUGGAUUUUGCCUAGCGUAAAUCUAUAAAUCAUUCAGCCUCUCCACAGUUGUCUUUGGUCUUGCCGGUGUCUGCGAUUACCCCUUACGACGAUUGUGACGUGAUGAUCGUGCUUUGAUAGAGAUCUAGAACGAUCUACUUCUCUAGUAUUAGACAAUUAAUCAAUUU
This 1490-nucleotide long non-coding RNA is filed under the name Linum usitatissimum (flax). RNAcentral describes it as "long non-coding RNA (LUSI_LNC007410)". The record is from RNAcentral. Lineage: Eukaryota; Viridiplantae; Streptophyta; Magnoliopsida; Malpighiales; Linaceae.